This 405-nucleotide ribosomal RNA is filed under the name uncultured bacterium. RNAcentral describes it as "bacterial SSU rRNA". It matches the Rfam family "Bacterial small subunit ribosomal RNA", at positions 356 to 775 of the family's 1533-position model. The record is from RNAcentral.
GGGGAAUAUUGGGCAAUGGGCGAAAGCCUGACCCAGCAACGCCGCGUGAAGGAAGAAGGUUUUCGGAUUGUAAACUUCUGUCCUCAGGGAAGAAGGACGUGACGGUACCUGAGGAGGAAGCCCCGGCUAACUACGUGCCAGCAGCCGCGGUAAUACGUAGGGGGCGAGCGUUGUCCGGAAUGACUGGGCGUAAAGGGCGCGUAGACGGCUUUUUAAGUCUGGAGUGAAAGUCCUGCUUUCAAGGUGGGAAUUGCUUUGGAGACUGGAAGGCUUGAGUGCGGAAGAGGUAAGUGGAAUUCCCAGUGUAGCGGUGAAAUGCGUAGAGAUUGGGAGGAACACCAGUGGCGAAGGCGACUUACUGGGCCGUAACUGACGUUGAUGCGCGAAAGCGUGGGGAGCGAACAG